Molecule: ribosomal RNA, 296 nt
Filed under: uncultured bacterium
Lineage: Bacteria
Description: partial 16S ribosomal RNA
Rfam family: Bacterial small subunit ribosomal RNA
Source: RNAcentral
UUAUCCGGAUUUAUUGGGUUUAAGGGGUGCGUAGACGGUUUGAUAAGUUAGAGGUGAAAUCCCGGGGCUUAACUCCGGAACUGCCUCUAAUACUGUUAGACUAGAGAGUAGUUGCGGUAGGCGGAAUGUAUGGUGUAGCGGUGAAAUGCUUAGAGAUCAUACAGAACACCGAUUGCGAAGGCAGCUUACCAAACUAUAUCUGACGUUGAGGCACGAUAGCGUGGGGAGCAAACAGGAUUAGAUACCCUGGUAGUCCACGCAGUAAACGAUGAUAACUCGUUGUCGGCGAUACACAG